This 253-nucleotide ribosomal RNA is filed under the name uncultured bacterium. RNAcentral's name for it is "partial 16S ribosomal RNA". It matches the Rfam family "Bacterial small subunit ribosomal RNA", at positions 524 to 776 of the family's 1533-position model. The record is from RNAcentral.
UACGUAGGGUGCGAGCGUUAAUCGGAAUUACUGGGCGUAAAGGGUGCGCAGGUGGGUUUGCAAGUUCGAUGUGAAAGCCCCGGGCUUAACCCGGGAAUGGCAUUGGAUACUGCAGAUCUGGAGGAUCGGAGGGGGGACUGGAAUUCUUGGUGUAGCAGUGAAAUGCGUAGAUAUCAAGAGGAACACCAGUGGCGAAGGCGAGUCCCUGGACGAUACCUGACACUGAGGCACGAAAGCUAGGGGAGCAAACAGG